This 72-nucleotide small RNA is filed under the name Skermanella aerolata. RNAcentral describes it as "Makes More Granules Regulator RNA (mmgR)". It matches the Rfam family "Makes More Granules Regulator RNA (mmgR)". Rfam says of the family: SuhB later renamed mmgR (makes more granules regulator) was a putative non-coding RNA found multiple times in the Agrobacterium tumefaciens genome and related alpha-proteobacteria. Lineage: Bacteria; Pseudomonadati; Pseudomonadota; Alphaproteobacteria; Rhodospirillales; Azospirillaceae. The record is from Rfam by way of RNAcentral.
UCGCGACGCCUCUUUGGGCGUUUCCUCCCUAGACUCAGGCCGCCUUUCGGGGCGGUCUUUUUUUUGCACAAA